This 498-nucleotide ribosomal RNA is filed under the name uncultured bacterium. RNAcentral's name for it is "partial 16S ribosomal RNA". It matches the Rfam family "Bacterial small subunit ribosomal RNA", at positions 28 to 523 of the family's 1533-position model. The record is from RNAcentral.
GAUGAACGCUAGCGGCAGGCCUAAUACAUGCAAGUCGGACGGGAUUUGGGAGCUUGCUCCCAAUGAGAGUGGCGCACGGGUGCGUAACACGUAUGUAACCUACCUUAAUCAGGGGGAUAGCCUCUCGAAAGAGAGAUUGACACCGCAUAAUAUAUUUUUAUGGCACCGUAGAAAUAUCAAAUAUUUAUAGGAUUAAGAUGGGCAUGCGGAACAUUAGCUAGUUGGUAAGGUAACAGCUUACCAAGGCUACGAUGUUUGGGGGAUCUGAGAGGAUGACCCCCCACACUGGUACUGAGACACGGACCAGACUCCUACGGGAGGCAGCAGUAAGGAAUAUUGGUCAAUGGGCGCAAGCCUGAACCAGCCAUGCCGCGUGCAGGAAGACGGCCCUAUGGGUUGUAAACUGCUUUUGUACCGGAAUAAACCCUUUUACGUGUAAAAGGCUGAAUGUACGGUAAGAAUAAGGAUCGGCUAACUCCGUGCCAGCAGCCGCCGUAA